Candidatus Buchananbacteria bacterium is the source of this 74-nucleotide non-coding RNA. The record is from Rfam. Lineage: Bacteria; Candidatus Buchananiibacteriota.
GGGGCGUUAGCUCAGCUAGGUAGAGCAGUUGCCUCUUAAGCAAACGGUCGGAGGUUCGAUUCCUCCACGCCCCA